RNAcentral lists this ribosomal RNA (497 nucleotides) under uncultured bacterium. Its description in RNAcentral is "partial 16S ribosomal RNA". It matches the Rfam family "Bacterial small subunit ribosomal RNA", at positions 28 to 507 of the family's 1533-position model. The record is from RNAcentral.
GAUGAACGCUGGCGGCGUGCCUAAUGCAUGCAAGUCGAGCGAACAGACGAGGAGCUUGCUCCUCUGACGUUAGCGGCGGACGGGUGAGUAGCACGUGGAUAACCUACCUAUAAGACUGGGAUAACUUCGGGAAACCGGAGCUAAUACCGGAUAAUAUAUUGAACCGCAUGGUUCAAUAGUGAAAGACGGUUUUGCUGUCACUUAUAGAUGGAUCCGCGCCGCAUUAGCUAGUUGGUAAGGUAACGGCUUACCAAGGCAACGAUGCGUAGCCGACCUGAGAGGGUGAUCGGCCACACUGGAACUGAGACACGGUCCAGACUCCUACGGGAGGCAGCAGUAGGGAAUCUUCCGCAAUGGGCGAAAGCCUGACGGAGCAACGCCGCGUGAGUGAUGAAGGUCUUCGGAUCGUAAAACUCUGUUAUUAGGGAAGAACAAAUGUGUAAGUAACUAUGCACGUCUUGACGGUACCUAAUCAGAAAGCCACGGCUAACUACGUG